CUAAAAUGAGAGUUUGAUCCUGGCUCAGGACGAACGCUGGCGGCGUGCCUAAUACAUGCAAGUCGAACGCUUUUUUCAAUCAUCGUAGCUUGCUACACCGAUUGAAAAUUGAGUGGCGAACGGGUGAGUAACACGUGGGUAACCUGCCCAAAAGAGGGGGAUAACACUUGGAAACAGGUGCUAAUACCGCAUAACCAUGAUGACCGCAUGGUCAUUAUGUAAAAGAUGGUUUCGGCUAUCACUUUUGGAUGGACCCGCGGCGUAUUAACUUGUUGGUGGGGUAACGGCCUACCAAGGUAAUGAUACGUAGCCGAACUGAGAGGUUGAUCGGCCACAUUGGGACUGAGACACGGCCCAAACUCCUACGGGAGGCAGCAGUAGGGAAUCUUCCACAAUGGGCGCAAGCCUGAUGGAGCAACGCCGCGUGAGUGAAGAAGGUCUUCGGAUCGUAAAACUCUGUUGUUAGAGAAGAACAUGCG
Molecule: ribosomal RNA, 479 nt
Filed under: Ligilactobacillus agilis
Lineage: Bacteria; Bacillati; Bacillota; Bacilli; Lactobacillales; Lactobacillaceae
Description: bacterial SSU rRNA
Rfam family: Bacterial small subunit ribosomal RNA
Source: RNAcentral